This is a non-coding RNA of Pelobates cultripes (western spadefoot toad), 441 nucleotides long. NCBI's taxonomy places the organism in Eukaryota, Metazoa, Chordata, Amphibia, Anura, Pelobatidae. The record is from the annotation of a GenBank genome assembly.
GUGGCAAAUCUAUAGCAAGAGAAUAUAAAUGGGAGAGAUGGAAAUACAAAUAUUAAGAAAUAAAAAUAGGACAAAAGACUAACUGAUGACAGAAAACGAUGGGUGGGAAAUGAGAUGGGCAAGUAAAGUCAGGAUAGAUUCUGAGACCGAUGAGGGAGGAGAAACUAAGAUGAGAGAUAGCGGAAAAACAAAGUGUAGGGCAUGCAGGAGGGCUAGAAUUAUAAAAGGGAAUAAAGGAAACGGGAAAAGGGAAGAAAUGACUGAAGAAUGGUAGAGGAAAAAGAUGGAGAGAUUGAAAGAAAAUGGUAGGGGGUUCUCGAAUUUCUGUUUUAAGGAACGUAUCAACACCGUUUGGUGUUUGUUGACUGACAAGCAUGCCUCUGGCUAACAUUAUACAAUGGCCGAUGAUAAAUGUCGUUGACGCCCUAACUUUUACGAUCA